This 254-nucleotide unclassified non-coding RNA is filed under the name Borreliella americana. RNAcentral describes it as "partial 5S-23S ribosomal RNA intergenic spacer". The record is from RNAcentral. Lineage: Bacteria; Pseudomonadati; Spirochaetota; Spirochaetia; Spirochaetales; Borreliaceae.
CUGCGAGUUCGCGGGAGAGUAGGUUAUUGCCAGGGUUUUUAUUUUUAUACUUUAAGUCUUGAUUUUAUUUUUAUGUUAUUUAAAUAUUGGUGUUUUUAAAUGUGUUAUUUAAAUAACAUAAAAAAUGAAAUAUAUAUUGACAUGGAUUAAACAAAGAUAUAUAUUAUUUUAUGUUGCAUAAACAAACUGGCAAAAUAGAGAUGGAAGAUAAAAAUAUGGUCAAAGUAAUAAGAGUCUAUGGUGAAUGCCUAGGA